Passer domesticus (house sparrow) is the source of this 538-nucleotide long non-coding RNA. RefSeq lists it as uncharacterized. NCBI's taxonomy places the organism in Eukaryota, Metazoa, Chordata, Aves, Passeriformes, Passeridae. The record is from RefSeq and is a predicted model, not a curated record. The transcript has 3 exons.
ACAACAUCUUUGUAGGAUGCUUUAUGAAAUAUAGCAAUCUUAGCAUUGCAGAGUUCUAGUUUGCUCAGCCCAGAAAGCAGCAGAGGCAAAGAGAAAAUCACUGACUGGUUGUGCAGGCAGAAAAAACUAAAUAGGGACUCAUAACUGAAAAUACCAGGUGGAAUUUAUGUGAAAAUGACUGCUGGAAAUUUCCACAUAUCCUCUAAGUUCACGGUGAAAAAAUUUGGUGAAUUAUAAAAGGACUUGAGAUCAGGUUUUUAAAAGUGUAUUUUCAAUAGGGAAAAUAAGAAGAAAUGCAUUAUACCUUAAAUAUACUCUGUGUGAAGGAGAAAACAAGAGAAAGGACAGCAAUAGUGAGAAAGAGCCAGAGAGAAGGAGAGAAAAGACAAGUGAGGAAGACAGAGUGAAAGAAUAAAGUAUUGAGAAGAACGAAAGAGAAAGAAGGCAGAAAGAAAAUGAAAAAUCAACAAAUAUUUAAGAGUCAACCCUGUCCAUCUUUCUGUCUAAUAGGAGUGUCAGGAAUCAUAAUUUAUAAGAA